CCUACGGGUGGCAGCAGUGAGGAAUAUUGGUCAAUGGCCGGAAGGCUGAACCAGCCAUGCCGCGUGAAGGUCAGUGCCCUUUGGGCGUUAAACUUCUUUUGUGCGGGAGCAAUAAUGGUCAAGUGUGGCCAGACGAGAGUACCGUACGAAUAAGCAUCGGCUAACUCCGUGCCAGCAGCCGUGGUAAUACGGGGGAUGCAAGCGUUGUCCGGAUUUAUUGGGUUUAAAGGGGGCAUAGGCUGGGAGGUAAGUCAGCGGUGGAAUGCCCGCGGUCAACGGGGUGAAGUGCAAUUGAUACUGCCUUGCUGGAAUGCAGAUGCCGUAGGAGGAAUGUGUGGUGUAGCGGUGAAAUGCAUAGAUAUCACACAGAACACCGAUUGCGAAGGCAUCUCACGAAUCCGCGAUUGACGCUGAUGCACGAAAGCGUGGGUAUCAAACAGGAUUAGAUACCCGGGUAGUC
Molecule: ribosomal RNA, 460 nt
Filed under: uncultured bacterium
Lineage: Bacteria
Description: partial 16S ribosomal RNA
Rfam family: Bacterial small subunit ribosomal RNA
Source: RNAcentral